RNAcentral lists this unclassified non-coding RNA (578 nucleotides) under Hevea brasiliensis (rubber tree). The record is from RNAcentral. Lineage: Eukaryota; Viridiplantae; Streptophyta; Magnoliopsida; Malpighiales; Euphorbiaceae.
GAAACACGUGCACCUGAUGAUGUUCUUAUAAUGGCAUUGCACAUGCUGUCAUUGGGUUUAGACAUUUGUUUUCAGCAGAGAGAACCUGGGGACAUGUCAUUUUUCAACAGAGAUUCCAUUACCAUGCUUGCUUUUGCUUGUGAAGAAAUUCAUGACAGAUUAAAUUAUGGUUCUGGUGAACAGAGCUUGCUGUCACUUCUUGUCUUAUUGAUGAGGAUGCACAAGAGAGAGAAUGUAGACAACUUUUCGGAGGCAGACAGUCGUAAUGUUUCUUCUUUGAUUGAAAACUUAUUGAAGAAGUUUGCAGAGGUGGAUUCAGGAUGUAUGUCUAAACUGCAGCAACUAGCACCUGAAGUGGUCAUGCAUUUAUCACAAUUACUUCCUAGUAGUAAUGUGCAUCCUGUUGGAUCAGCUUCUGAUAGUGAGAAGCGCAAGGCCAAAGCCCGAGAGAGACAGGCUGCUAUAUUGGCAAAAAUGAAAGCUGAGCAGUCCAAGUUUUUGUCGAGCAUUAACAACACUGUUGACGAUGAUUCAAAAUCAGGAUUAGAUGAAAGCAACAAGGAUAAAGAACAAGGUUU